UGAGGAAUAUUGGUCAAUGGGCGCAAGCCUGAACCAGCCAUCCCGCGUGCAGGAAGACGGCCCUAUGGGUUGUAAACUGCUUUUCCGGGGGGAGAAUUUUUCCGUCGUGACGGGAAUUGACGGUACCCCGGGAAUAAGCAUCGGCUAACUCCGUGCCAGCAGCCGCGGUAAUACGGAGGAUGCGAGCGUUAUCCGGAUUUAUUGGGUUUAAAGGGUGCGUAGGCGGAAUGAUAAGUCAGUGGUGAAAACCUGCAGCUUAACUGUAGACUUGCCGUUGAUACUGUCAGUCUUGAGUGUGGUCAAGGUAGGCGGAAUGUGUGAUGUAGCGGUGAAAUGCUUAGAUAUUGCACAGAACACCGAUUGCGAAGGCAGCUUACUGGGCCAUUACCGACGCUGAUGCACGAAAGCGUGGGGAUCGAACAG
This 423-nucleotide ribosomal RNA is filed under the name uncultured bacterium. RNAcentral describes it as "bacterial SSU rRNA". It matches the Rfam family "Bacterial small subunit ribosomal RNA", at positions 355 to 775 of the family's 1533-position model. The record is from RNAcentral.